GACGAACGCUGGCGGCGUGCCUAAUACAUGCAAGUUGAGCGAUGAAGAUUGGUGCUUGCACCAAUUUGAAGAGCAGCGAACGGGUGAGUAACGCGUGGGGAAUCUGCCUUUGAGCGGGGGACAACAUUUGGAAACGAAUGCUAAUACCGCAUAACAACUUUAAACAUAAGUUUUAAGUUUGAAAGAUGCAAUUGCAUCACUCAAAGAUGAUCCCGCGUUGUAUUAGCUAGUUGGUGAGGUAAAGGCUCACCAAGGCGAUGAUACAUAGCCGACCUGAGAGGGUGAUCGGCCACAGUGGGACUGAGACACGGCCCAAACUCCUACGGGAGGCAGCAGUAGGGAAUCUUCGGCAAUGGACGAAAGUCUGACCGAGCAACGCCGCGUGAGUGAAGAAGGUUGUCGGAUCGUAAAACUCUGUUGGUAGAGAAGAACGUUGGUGAGAGUGGAAAGCUCAUCAAGUGACGGUAACUACCCAGAAAGGGACGGCUAACUACGUG
Molecule: ribosomal RNA, 497 nt
Filed under: uncultured bacterium
Lineage: Bacteria
Description: partial 16S ribosomal RNA
Rfam family: Bacterial small subunit ribosomal RNA
Source: RNAcentral